Molecule: ribosomal RNA, 258 nt
Filed under: uncultured bacterium
Lineage: Bacteria
Description: partial 16S ribosomal RNA
Rfam family: Bacterial small subunit ribosomal RNA
Source: RNAcentral
GUCCGCACUGUAAACGAUGAUUACUCGUUGCUGGGGAGCAAUUUCCAGUGACCAAGCGAAAGCGAUAAGUAAUCCACCUGGGGAGUACGCCGGCAACGGUGAAACUCAAAGGAAUUGACGGGGCCCGCACAAGCGGAGGAGCAUGUGGUUUAAUUCGAUGAUACGCGAGGAACCUUACCAGGGCUUGAAAGUUAGGGAAUACUCCUGAAAGGGAGUAGUCAGCAAAUGACCCGAAACUAGGUGCUGCAUGGCUGUCGU